UACGUAGGGUGCGAGCGUUAAUCGGAAUUACUGGGCGUAAAGCGUGCGCAGGCGGCGCGUUAAGACAGGUGUGAAAGCCCCGAGCUUAACUUGGGAAUUGCGCUUGUGACUGGCGUGCUGGAGUGUGGCAGAGGGAGGUGGAAUUCCACGUGUAGCAGUGAAAUGCGUAGAGAUGUGGAGGAACACCAAUGGCGAAGGCAGCCUUCUGGGCCAACACUGACGCUCAUGCACGAAAGCGUGGGGAGCAAACAGG
Molecule: ribosomal RNA, 253 nt
Filed under: uncultured bacterium
Lineage: Bacteria
Description: partial 16S ribosomal RNA
Rfam family: Bacterial small subunit ribosomal RNA
Source: RNAcentral